CCCUCGAUAGCUCAGUUGGAAGAGCGUGGGACUGUAAUUGGAAAAUUGUCAAUCCCGAGGUCACUGGUUCGAUCCCGGUUUGAGGGA
This is a transfer RNA of Botryobasidium botryosum FD-172 SS1, 87 nucleotides long. It matches the Rfam family "tRNA". Rfam says of the family: Transfer RNA (tRNA) molecules are approximately 80 nucleotides in length. The record is from Rfam. Lineage: Eukaryota; Fungi; Basidiomycota; Agaricomycetes; Cantharellales; Botryobasidiaceae.